GAAACCCUAGGAAGUAAAAGACCAGAUAGGGCUGACAGCCAUUUCAAAGAAACUGCUUUUACUUUGUUUUAUAUAUUGUAAUUCCACAUAAGAUUUCAUUUGGAAUAAAAAUGAUUUCUGGGGCUAAAUAAUGUAUAAUUUUGAAAAAAUUGUAAAUGAAAAAAUUGUUUUAUUUUGUUUUUUAACUUAAAACUGAUUUCUUUUGUAAGUAUUCUAAGCACAUUAGCAUGCUAUCAAGUUUAUAACCUUGGAAGUAGAAAUUUAGAACUCAGCACUAUGUAGUUGAAGCCAUGGAACAUCAAUACAAUCGCCCAGCAAUAAUAUGUGUGAGCAUAGCGUGAGAAGAGAAACAGGCCAAGGAGUAGGCAGGAGAAGAGAAGCCUGGAAAGAAGACAGAAAGAAGCUGUCAGAGAGAAAUGUUAUGUAGGAUCUGGGGCUGCAAGUUCUGCAUCAAGAUAAGAGAAGUGAGAUGUAAAUAAAGAUUCAUGGACCUUACUUCCUGCAGCAUUCCUGGACCAAGGUCGGUGCAACUAGAUGCAAAUUAAUUGUCAAGACCAGGCCAGCAGAGGGCCACUGGGACCCGGAGCUAUGUACACCAGCUGGAGUCAGAUCAGGUAACCUUCUGAGGGGCAGGGUGGAGGCCAGGCCGGAAGUGCAAAGCCGCAGACCUCAGAUCUCCUUAAGGUAAGGCAACCAGAGAAAGAAUCCAAGAAUAAUCAUCAGGAAGAGAAGUUGCCAAGGAGACCGUGAAGGGACAAGCUGGGGGACAAAAGCCAAUUCAGUGGGGAUGGCCAGGGAACAAGUGGAAAGAAUCUGUGUCCUUGACAACAUUGAGCCACUGAAUUAACCAACUCCAAAACUGCCCCACCUCUGGACUUCUUGUUAUGUAAAAUAAUAAAUUUCUGUACUAUUAAAAACAAGCGGCAAC
RNAcentral lists this long non-coding RNA (928 nucleotides) under Equus caballus (horse). RNAcentral describes it as "lncRNA (ENSECAG00000058635.1)". Lineage: Eukaryota; Metazoa; Chordata; Mammalia; Perissodactyla; Equidae. The record is from RNAcentral.